This 135-nucleotide small nucleolar RNA is filed under the name Microcebus murinus (gray mouse lemur). Its description in RNAcentral is "Small nucleolar RNA U109 (ENSMICG00000043704.1)". It matches the Rfam family "Small nucleolar RNA U109". The record is from Rfam by way of RNAcentral. Lineage: Eukaryota; Metazoa; Chordata; Mammalia; Primates; Cheirogaleidae.
CUACAUGUGGAGAUGUCUGUUCUUCAUUCCUUGAGGAGCAGGAAUACAUCUAUAACAUGUUGCAUUUAAAAGGGAAUUCUUAGAGCUGCCAAUCUUAUAAUAAAUGUUGAGUAGUAGUGUAUGUCUCCUACAAAA